Molecule: small nucleolar RNA, 140 nt
Organism: Trichosurus vulpecula (common brushtail)
Lineage: Eukaryota; Metazoa; Chordata; Mammalia; Diprotodontia; Phalangeridae
Product: small nucleolar RNA SNORA15
Exons: 1
Source: RefSeq, a predicted model, not a curated record
GCAUGGAUGAAUACUGUGUUCUCUUUGUCAGUAGUCAACACAGCCAGACACCAUGCAAAAGCACAUUCUUCUCCUUUGAAAUGGUCUUAAUGGGAUGCUAAGGGUUGUUGGCAUGCCAUUACUAAAGGGGAAUCACAGAC